Molecule: ribosomal RNA, 508 nt
Filed under: Veillonella sp. oral clone R50
Lineage: Bacteria; Bacillati; Bacillota; Negativicutes; Veillonellales; Veillonellaceae
Description: bacterial SSU rRNA
Rfam family: Bacterial small subunit ribosomal RNA
Source: RNAcentral
GACGAACGCUGGCGGCGUGCUUAACACAUGCAAGUCGAACGAAGAGCGAUGGAAGCUUGCUUCUAUCAAUCUUAGUGGCGAACGGGUGAGUAACGCGUAAUCAACCUGCCCUUCAGAGGGGGACAACAGUUGGAAACGACUGCUAAUACCGCAUACGAUCUGACCUCGGCAUCGAGGAUGGAUGAAAGGUGGCCUCUAUUUAUAAGCUAUCACUGAAGGAGGGGAUUGCGUCUGAUUAGCUAGUUGGAGGGGUAACGGCCCACCAAGGCGAUGAUCAGUAGCCGGUCUGAGAGGAUGAACGGCCACAUUGGGACUGAGACACGGCCCAGACUCCUACGGGAGGCAGCAGUGGGGAAUCUUCCGCAAUGGACGAAAGUCUGACGGAGCAACGCCGCGUGAGUGAUGACGGCCUUCGGGUUGUAAAGCUCUGUUAAUCGGGACGAAAGGCCUUCUUGCGAAUAGUUAGAAGGAUUGACGGUACCGGAAUAGAAAGCCACGGCUAACUACG